UACAGAGGUCUCAAGCGUUGUUCGGAUUCAUUGGGCGUAAAGGGUGCGUAGGUGGCGUGGUAAGUCGGAUGUGAAAUCCCGGGGCUCAACCCCGGAACUGCAUUCGAUACUGCCUUGCUAGAGUACUGGAGAGGAGAUUGGAAUUUACGGUGUAGCAGUGAAAUGCGUAGAUAUCGUAAGGAAGACCAGUGGCGAAGGCGAAUCUCUGGACAAUUACUGACACUGAGGCACGAAGGCCAGGGGAGCAAAACGGG
This 254-nucleotide ribosomal RNA is filed under the name uncultured bacterium. RNAcentral's name for it is "partial 16S ribosomal RNA". It matches the Rfam family "Bacterial small subunit ribosomal RNA", at positions 524 to 777 of the family's 1533-position model. The record is from RNAcentral.